UCAUUUACAUGUACAAAUUUAUUAUUAACAGUAUUGUAUUUACAUGUACAAAUAAUUGUGAUUUGAAGCCCAUUAUUUGUAGGCAUAAUGCUCUUUAAAAAAAAUGUUACCUAAUAGUAAAAACAUAUAACUUGGCUGAUAAAUUCAAAAAGAACAAUGGUCAUGCAACAAUAACCAUAACCAUACAAACAAAAGCUUUAAUGAGCAUUACAAACAUACAAACAAAACCAUAUUCAUUUGGGAAACAACAGAACCUGCUACAUCAAUACUAACCUGUAAUGCUCAAAUCUGGGACGACUGCGAUGUGGAAGUGUUGGAAAAAUGUUACCUGUAAUGAGAAAAGUGCUCGGAUCAACCUUUUUUUUUGGGGAAAAUAUUUAUGCUAUAGCUAAAUAUAGUAUAUCAAAGCACAGAACAACCAUACACCAAUCAUCAUCCAUGAACCAUAUUUUAAAUAUGAUAUCGAUCAAAACAGUAUCUAGAUAGUUUAUUAAAUCCCCUUGCCUACCAAUCAUCAAUACUUACAAUUAUGCAACAAUCACCUUUUAAGUACUUAAAUGGACCGUUAACUUUCUAGAGUAGUCUUACCUUCUGCUCUAUUCCAGGAACUUUGAGAACUUUCUUAUUAACCUCUCUCUUACUGCAAAAACAUAAGAAAAAUAAAACAUUUAGCCACUGGUUAUAGGCUUAUAGC
This 694-nucleotide long non-coding RNA is filed under the name Gossypium raimondii (Peruvian cotton). Its description in RNAcentral is "long non-coding RNA (GRAI_LNC004312)". The record is from RNAcentral. Lineage: Eukaryota; Viridiplantae; Streptophyta; Magnoliopsida; Malvales; Malvaceae.